GUGGACAACUAUCCUGCGCGCCCCUCAUGUGGGCGCCUGGGCUGAUUCCCACCACAGAAGGAAACCAGAACGUUUUAUCUACCUCUUGCUGCGGCGCUAACUAACCCGCCUCGGGGUUAAAACGCCGUGCUACAUUC
RNAcentral lists this small nucleolar RNA (137 nucleotides) under Chlamydomonas reinhardtii. Its description in RNAcentral is "CrACA16c snoRNA". The record is from RNAcentral. Lineage: Eukaryota; Viridiplantae; Chlorophyta; Chlorophyceae; Chlamydomonadales; Chlamydomonadaceae.